GGUUUAUUUCAUAAGGGAAGAAAAAGAAUCUAGCUCUGUGGCUAGGAUAGGCAGUGACUUUACUAGCUAAGACUGGGACUCAGGAAAGAAGCAGAGCUCUUCCAUGUGCUCCAUUUCCUACCUGAGCAAGCUGUGCCUGCCUCAGAGGAGGGUUUCCAUUUGUAGCAUUAAGCGAUUAUCAAAUAGCAUAAAACAAAUAGCUCAUGGGAAUCUAUCCUACUCCAGAAGGCCGUGGGAGAACAUCCCAGGAAGGGCCAUUUGGCCAUGGGGUGAAGAAUGACUUCAUAUUAGCCAAGGAAGAUAUGAAGUGUUCUUUUGUGAUUAAAAUGCUACCCGUGGUGCUCCUGCAUUUUUGUUCUUGGUGCUGCCUCCCCCAACCUCUUUCUGGCUUUUCCUCUAGGCCUUCUGUUCCAGAAUCUCUUCUGCAUCUAGGGAGGCAGUGGGUUGAGAUUGUCAUGGUAACUACUGUUUAUUACCCAGUUGUGUUUACUAGUCUCUUUUGCAGCCUUCAGGCCCAGAAAAUGAACACUAAGCUUGGGUAAGUUGUCUUAGUCAGUACUUAGUCCUUGACAGAAACCUGCUGGGGUUUCAGAGUACAGCAGCCUUUGUGUGCUAUUGCACAUUCUAAAUAUUCGAAACUAAUUGUUUUUUAGAUUACAAAAUGUUUACUGUCUGGAGAGAUGACUCCGUGGUUAGGAGCACUUACUGCUUGUACACAGCCCCCAAGUCUGGGUCUCACCACCCACAUGACUCACAGCCACCUAUAACCGAAGUUCCAGGGAGUCUGAUGGGCUCUUCUAACCCCCACAGGUACCAGAAACACCCAUGGUACACAUACAAACAUGCAACAAAAACAUACAGCCAUAUACAGAAAAUAACAUUUUAAAGCAUGUUUUCUAGUCAGGGCAAUGUACUGUUGCUCCCUUCAUUUGGUCACCCGCAUGUUCUUGUGGUACACACAAGGUUUAAGAGUGAUUAUAGAAAAACGUAAAAUACAUCAGUAGAAAACAGAAAAUGAAAGUGUAAAUCAGGACAGAAAAAAAAGCAUAAAGGGAAUCUAGAAAUGUCCCAGGUGUAUUGUGACUUUAAAAUAAUUCUGUGUCUUGCAAAUUCACAAACUAUUCAGCCAAACUCAUAAAUGAAGCACAAGUAAUCUGCUAACCAUGCAGUCAAAUUGCACAGCUUACAAUGAGAUUCUUCUCAACCAAGAGCAUGUUUAGUGGAAAGAAAUGUAUGGCAGAGUAACAGUUUGAAAAAAAAAAAAAAAAA
This 1269-nucleotide long non-coding RNA is filed under the name Rattus norvegicus (Norway rat). Its description in RNAcentral is "long non-coding RNA NONRATT012910". Lineage: Eukaryota; Metazoa; Chordata; Mammalia; Rodentia; Muridae. The record is from RNAcentral.